Solenopsis invicta (red fire ant) is the source of this 1591-nucleotide long non-coding RNA. RefSeq lists it as uncharacterized. NCBI's taxonomy places the organism in Eukaryota, Metazoa, Arthropoda, Insecta, Hymenoptera, Formicidae. The record is from RefSeq and is a predicted model, not a curated record. The transcript has 3 exons.
GAAAUAUUCAAAUACGGCGUCGGUAACGCCACCCAUCGCCACCCACCGCCGCCCCCGUCGCCCCCGGUAAUCCGUCGGUACAUACAACUCGCGUGAUACCGGCAGGGGCGACGGGGGCGGCGGUGGGUGGCGUUACUGACGCCGUAUUUGAAUAUUUCGGCUAGUGGUGAUUGUUGUGAAUCGUCGCGAGUGCGGAACAGGUCGACUUGGAGUACUGGAGCAGUGUCGAGUCGCGUAUAAUUCCGUAUAGCCGUGAAUAGUCUCGAUCUCGUCAUCCGCGUAAUAAAGAGUAAGUACACGGCUUCUUUACAUACGUUGGCGAUGCGUUCAAGCGACCGCGAAUGCCGAUCCCCCCUCCUCCCCUCGCGGUGCCGUACAUCGUUGGGAAGGAUGCGUUGGGAAGAAUGCGUUGAAAAGAAACACGAUGCUCUUGAUCGGAAUGACUUGUGUAAAGGGCCGAUUCUACGUAAGGGGAACGCGGGUGGCAGGUUGCGAACGCGGAUGCACAUGCAUCGACAUCAGAGGUUAACUCGCCCGAAAUCUUUCGCGUCAAUGCCGUGCGCCGGUUGCAUCGCGGCGUCGGUCGGUGAUGACGAGCGGGUCGGUGAGGUUAAUUCGCGGGUGGAUUGCCUAGCAUCGCACUAUCGCGUCUAAAUCCUAUUCUUCUCGUCGCGAUGUAUGUCUGUCGAAGUACAUGAUUGAGUACCGUGUCAAAGUGUCCGAUAUUCUACCUCUGGACUUUUCACGGGAUGUCGUCGGGUGUCCUGCAUUUCGUUCUACCUGGACUUCGUCGGCAUUGCGUGAGAUUGACGUCGUUGCUACAACUCCGUUGCUGCACAUCGCAUUGUGUUGAAUGCAAUGGGCAAAUGUGAGAGGAUGAGCGGACUUGGAAAGCAUCAGCCGACGUCGGAACAACCAUGGUGAGUGAAUUAUUGUUUUAUUUUAUUAAUCUUUCGCGCUCUAAAUUAUAUCUCGCGAGUGAACACCGUUAACGUUCCACAUUCAUUAACAUCUUUUUCCGCAAUGUUUUCCAUUGCGAAUGGCUCGUCGGAGGAACCGGUGCACGCCGAUUCCGAACGGCAGAUAUCGGCCGGCGACGAGGGCAUGAAAAAGUUUAUUCCGCGCUUGCAAAAAUCGCGUGGAUCGUCGCGCACGGCCCGUGCAUAGGAAACGAGGAUGCGUUUUAGCGACGGCGUCGGUUAAUUAACGUCGGCAUUGCUUCGGCUAGCACUCUUGUAACAGCGAGAUCGCGAGAUGCGAUAGCGGUCACACCGACCGCGAAAGAUCCUCUUCUUCCUUCGCUUCCUCGCCAUUCUUUUUUCCCCUCCUUGCCUUGCUUAUCCUCCCGCUUCUCUCUCGAUCGCGGCAAGCGGUGAUCCUCCACAACGGGUCGUGCAUCGAUAAAUUUCGGAAUUGGCGCCUCUGUCGAUCCCGGGUCCACCUAAUUAAGCGGUUUGCCCCAUAAUUAUAGUCAAUUAACGUCAAACUCAGUCGACAGCGUCGAAACCGCUAUCGCUCCAAGAUUGCUCGAUAUUACGCGCACCUAUACGCGCGCGAGCGUCCACGUGUCUCUCAUCUUAAUAUUAUCAGG